This 380-nucleotide long non-coding RNA is filed under the name Cricetulus griseus (Chinese hamster). RNAcentral's name for it is "lncRNA (ENSCGRG00000024698.1)". The record is from RNAcentral. Lineage: Eukaryota; Metazoa; Chordata; Mammalia; Rodentia; Cricetidae.
AGGGAGCCUCACAGCCUGAGCAGCAGCUAGGAGCUCAUACUGGUUUCCAGGAGCAGAGGCUGAGAGGAAGGGGUACAGAAGCAGAGGAGAGGGGCUUCCAGGUGCUCUGUAAGCACCCACUGUCCUUGGAUUCCUGGCUCGGAGAACAGCUAAGAUUUGAGAAGUCCAGGAGCCACCAUCCCAGUGCUAGGUGACACAGACUCACCUCUCUUCCUGAUCACACCACUCUUCCGGAAGCUCCAGAGCCUCAGAAUGGUGGCAGAAGCUGGUGGCAAAGACACCAGUGCCAUGUGAUGAAAGAUGUCCCUUCUGUCUCCUGGCUCCACCCUCCCAUACUGGAAACUGAGCCCAGGGCACUCUACCAUUAAAGCUAUUCAUUU